This 312-nucleotide long non-coding RNA is filed under the name Nicotiana benthamiana. Its description in RNAcentral is "long non-coding RNA (NBEN_LNC025481)". Lineage: Eukaryota; Viridiplantae; Streptophyta; Magnoliopsida; Solanales; Solanaceae. The record is from RNAcentral.
UGGAAAUGAAUUUUUUGUUAGCUAAGUUGUGGAUUGAGUUAUUUAAUCCAAAUUGAAGAAGUUGUCAAAAUGCUAAUUCCUUGUUAUUUCUUAUCUGUGUGACCUUACAGUACUCUAGUUUAGUGUCCAUUAUAGUUUAACUUCUUAGGUAUAUUCAUUUGUUAUCAUCAGUUGUUUUAAGGUUGGAGCUAAGAUUUCCUUUGACUAUGAUUUAUUCAAAAUUUCAAUCUAGCCUAACAUGUAUAAUGGGACGCUACUAGUUUGGUUUGCUCGUGUUAUAGACUCAGUAGUUUGGUUUAAUGUUACCUCGCC